Rhincodon typus (whale shark) is the source of this 2797-nucleotide long non-coding RNA. RefSeq lists it as uncharacterized. NCBI's taxonomy places the organism in Eukaryota, Metazoa, Chordata, Chondrichthyes, Orectolobiformes, Rhincodontidae. The transcript is spliced from 3 exons. The record is from RefSeq and is a predicted model, not a curated record.
UGUGCUUGUUUAUUCAAGCCACCUGCGUCAUUCUACCAUCUCGUCGCCUCCCUUUAUUCAAAAUGACAGGCUUAAACUUCUGCUGCAAAACUGAGCUAUUGUUCAGGAAGAUCCCACUGGCGGAAAAGGAUUGGUGCUGCAUCCAGAGAUGGGGUGUGGGAGACGCUGCGAGAUUCCCUUCCAACCAAGGAUGCUGCCAGACCUGCACAACUUAAAAUUCCUGGUUCUGUUAGCAGGUAGAUGUACUCAACCCCACCUUAUUCUUCCCUGUGCAAGCAUAAAUCUAUUCGGAUCGGUCAAGGCGCCUGUUGGAAAUCGUGAAACGUGAGGGGAAUUUACUUCCCUGUGAAAUCGCUGGUCUCUGGAUUUCAAAAAUGAAAUCUCCAGAUAAAUGGUGCAAUGUGCACUGUCCAUGUCUCGGCACUUCCAAGUAUAAACCCCCUCAACUUUAGCAUGGAAUAAGAAAAGAAGUGCAUGCUGAGCAAGGUCCUCGAGGAGUUUUUAAAAAAACAGGAAGAGUUUAGAUACAGCAAAUAAGGAGAACCUGUUUUCAGUGGCUGGAAAGUAAAUAACCUAAAAGGUUCUGGUUUGAUGAUUGACGAAAGAAAGAGCGGACGGCAUGAUGAAAAUGUCUCUUGUACAAACCGUAUGGUUAGAAUUUGAAAGGUACUGUCUGCGAGGGCGGUCGAUACAGAUUCUGUGAUGGCCUUCAAAAAAAAAAGGUAACUGCACAAAUUACGUAUGGAAGAAAACAAAAAUUGCAGGGACAUGCCGAAAGAGUGAGAAGUGUGCAGAAAUGACUGACUGUCAAAGGAACUGGUGUGGACUCCCAUGUGUCAAAUGGCUUCCUUCUGCUGUAGCUUUACUGUAAUUCUGUGGCAACAAACAGAUAACCUUUGGUUAAGGAAUAGUUAUUAGCCAGGACACCAGGGAGAACUCUGCUGGUUUUCAAGGUAGUGCCGUGGGAUGUUUUACAUUCCUCCAAGAAAACAGUGGCUCUGUUUAAGGUCUCAUUUGAAAGUUGCUACCACUGACAGUGCAGCAUGCUAUACAAAAUUUCAAUCUGUAAAUUGUUGUAAGAAUGAAAAUAUCAACUGAGCCUCACUCGGAGGAUGGAUGGGGGAGAACAAUACUGCAUAGGGACAGGCCCUUCGGCCCUCCAGCCCUCCAAGUCUGAGCAAACACAUUUUUGCCCUUCCAUACUAAAACUGUCUUCACUUACAGGAUCCAUAUCCCUCUAAUCGCUUCCUAUUCUUGCAUUCGUCUAGAUGCUUCCUGAAUGCUGCUAUUGCGUCUGCUUCCACUGCCCCCUCUGGCAACACGUUCCAACACUCAUGACCCUCAUAUUGCUUAUUUGGGGGAUCCUGUUGUGCACAAAUUGGUCCGACAUCGCAAGUGACUAAAUAUCAAAGCACUUAAUUGGCUGCAGAGUACACCGGGACAUCCAGAGGUUGGGAAAUGCAAAUGCAAGCUUUCUUUCCUUUUGUUGACCUAUCCAAAAGAUCCUCUUGUAAUACCCAACAGAAUCAAAACUAAUUUAUCAACAACAUAAACUUAACAGAGGUAGGACUGGCCCCCUCAAUUACAUUUACCAGGACUCGGCACAAGUUGGAGAUGAUUCUCUCAAAUACACAAUUAUUUCAGCUGUUCAACUUCACUGCUACACAUAGGUUAGAAACUUUGUUAGAAGCAUGAAAUACACUACACGUAUACUGUAAUUGUCACAAUAUCAGACGUCACCAUAAGUUACAAAAUUAAAUUGAACCUCCAAUGGCUUUCGACAGCUCCAGUCAUUUCAAAUGUUAAUUGUGCCCUAUUGUGAUAUCUGUAAUGCACAUUCUGUUAUAAAGAUAACUGCACCUCUUCCUACUUGUACUCUUCACUUCAGGCUCUUCCAGCUGAUGACUACAUCACUCAAAAGCACUUGAGGAAAAAUGAAAUCUGGUUCGGCUUUUGAGCCAGGAUGAAACAGAACAAGUUCCAGUCAUGAUAGCUCAUUCCUGCUUAACUCUGAAACAGCAGGAUGCCCAAUCAAGCCACACUCCACAGAGUUGAGCAUGUCAUCUAGCCUGAUACUCCAAUGCAGCACUGAGGGAGCUAUUAUCAUGUGACCAUUUUUGGGAUCUUCCAGGUAUAAAUUAGCUGUCACAUUUCCAACAUUACAACAAGCAGACUUCAAAAAUACAUCAUGGGUCACGAGGCACUUUGGGGUGUCCUUACUAUAUCCAUUUCAGUUUGUGUUUUGAAAGCAACCACCCCCCUCCAUUUUGUUAACUGCUGCCUGAUUUCCAACACCACACCCUUUUCAUUUGGUGGUCAUUGGGAUCAAUUUAUUGAUCCUUAAUCCCAAGCUCAGAAAACCAGUGCAGACCGCAUGUACCACCACUCUAACCAAGAUGAGUCAAUUCAAGCAAGGUCAGAGCAGGGAAAAAUAGGAAAGCAACAUUAAUGGCCCCUAUGACAGUUAUAACAGGUUUGAUAGCACAAACAGAAAUAAAUAAUUAUAUGAUACCCAUUACGGAGACAUAGUUACAAAGUUACCUGAAGCCUCCAGGCUUUUAUAUUUAGUUGUGUAGUUCCAUUAAUAAAAGAUGAGAACAAUUCAGUAGUGAGAAAUUAUCUUUGCUCAGAGGAUCAAGACAUCAAAAAUCAGUUUGAGUGGAGAUAAGAAAUAACAAAGGAAAUAGCAAAACAUGUACAAUUUUAAUCUUCAUGUGGAUUGGACAAUAAAAUUGCCAAGAGUAACCUGGAGUAACAGUAUACUCAGAAAAGUUUCAUAGAACAAGACUUUAUGGAA